GGAAAGGAAUAUGUGGGAGGCAAGGAAGCUAGAAUGAUAAUUAAUAAGAGGCAAGUUACAAAUUUAGUUUUAAAGGCUUUAAUUGGCUUUAUUUCUGGUUUUUGAUCCAGGAAACCUUUUAUUCCAGAGAAUAGAGUAAGCGUUCUGAUGAGCUGAGCAGAAGUAGCAGGCUUUACGGACAGAGCAUCCCCGAGGGAGGCAGAAGCAAGGAGCAAGGCAUAGAUUUGCGCCUCAGCUUUGGUUCUAAAGAUGCUUUCCCUAAAAUCUCGGGCCAGGAGACAGAGCAACAGCAAGGUAACUGGAAGAAGAACCAUGAAUUUUAGGAGGAGAAUGAGCUCCCAAUGUCUUCCUAGCCAGCAUGGGCACCCUGUAACCAUCACACACUGGCUGGGAUGCCUAAAGAAUCAGAAGACUCCACCCAGGCACCAGAGCUUGUCUCUUAAAACUGAGAAUGGAUCUGUUCCUCCUGACUUCUGCAGAAUUCAGAAAGGCUUGGUCAAAAGAAAACAACAUUGGAAAGGCAACACGGGGAAUUCUGACACUGUAGUCUCUUCUCCAAUGCUGUCAGGCUGAGGGAAAGGUGAGCUUGACUCACUCAGGGCCUUUUGCGGGAAGACUGACGUACACAAGUGCAGUACUGGAAAGGUGGAAAGGGUUCUCCUCCAUCUCCCUCAAAAACCAGGAGUGUGAUUGCAGGAAACAACAACAACAGCAACAACAGCAGCAACAGCAACAACAAGGCUAAGUACUGUUGGAUGGGUGACUGAAAAUACUGCCUCUAACAGAGUUCUCAUCAUCAGUGAGGUUCGGAGCCUAGGGAUUCAGGAAAGUUUGGGUAUAGAAUCUCUUUCUCUUUGGUUUCUGUAUCUCCAUCAAAUAAAAUUCAGCCACAAGAAAAACCCAAGUAUUAGGAGCUGACCUUUAGAGCCAUCUUAAUUGCAGUAAAUGAAUGAGGCUUGUAGCUCCAGGCUGUAGACACGUCUGUUCUAAGUCGCUCUGUGGUUUUAAAACUAGACAGCUAGUCUUCCAGACACGAUAUAGUUGAUGCACACAUCAUAGCAGCUAUGCUUGUCUGCAUCUUCAUUAGAGUUACAUAAAAUCAAGUCAGUCAAAAUUCUAUCAUGGUGAGAGUGAACUCUUGAAGCCCCAUCCUUAGCUGAUGAGUUGCCUACAGUUGAAGGCUGCUGAGGGAGGAGUUACUUUUCUUUAGAGAAUGUGGCCACUGGUAGAUUACCCUUGACCUAGUGGAUGACCCCAAAUGCAUUCUCACAUAGUAAGCACUAACUGGACUCAAGAGGGCUACCGAUAAGAGUAACAAUGAUAAAGAAGGCAUUGAGUCAGAAUGUAAAGGGGUUGGUGAAUUUCUAGGGGACAUGUAGGAAGGCAGUUGGGGUGGAUAAGAUCAAAAAAGGUUGUACAUAUAUAAUCUUUUCAAAGAAUUAAACAAUUCUUUGUUCUAAAAUUAUACAAGGGCAUGCAGUGAAUAUUUUUUGAUCUUCCUGGCACCUGAGUUUGCUUCUCUUUGAGGAACUUUUUAAUUUAUAAAAAGUAGAGUUUACCAGCCAGUACAAAAGUAGAAACUUUCAGAUAGCACAUUUGUAACGUCCCCUAGAGAUGUGAGAUGUGGUUAUAUCAUCUAGGGCUGGCCAUUCUGAAGCAUCAAACUUUGAAUUAGAAGCUAGAGAUGAAAAGGUGAAGGGGGAAGCCGUUAUUUUGGUGGUUGAGAAUGCAAAAAUGACAAAUACUAUAAUCAUGUCACUAAGCACAGAAGAAGCAGUUGGCAGGAGUAAAGUCUAUGCCUAAUGUUAUAGACAAUGGUCACAAAACAGUGAUACCCGGCAUCAUAGUUCUUAGGGUAGCUUUGCUAUUUUUAGCCAUGGGCUGUUCUUUCUUUAACCUCCUUACUUUCAGAGAAAGUGAUGGCUAUUCUUGGCUGACAACUUGACUACAUCAGGAAUGAACUACCUCCAGAAAUGGAGAAAACCGGUGAGAUUAUUUUUGCUUGGGUGAGUCCACUUCUAGUUUGGACCUUUGAGGUAGGGAGACACACACCUUUGAU
Molecule: long non-coding RNA, 2059 nt
Filed under: Rattus norvegicus (Norway rat)
Lineage: Eukaryota; Metazoa; Chordata; Mammalia; Rodentia; Muridae
Description: long non-coding RNA NONRATT031936
Source: RNAcentral